This 484-nucleotide ribosomal RNA is filed under the name uncultured bacterium. Its description in RNAcentral is "bacterial SSU rRNA". It matches the Rfam family "Bacterial small subunit ribosomal RNA", at positions 501 to 981 of the family's 1533-position model. The record is from RNAcentral.
CUACGUGCCAGCAGCCGCGGUAAUACGUAGGGCGCGAGCGUUGUCCGGAAUUAUUGGGCGUAAAGAGCUUGUAGGCGGUUUGUCGCGUCUGCUGUGAAAGGCCGGGGCUUAACCCCGUGUAUUGCAGUGGGUACGGGCAGACUAGAGUGCAGUAGGGGAGACUGGAAUUCCUGGUGUAGCGGUGGAAUGCGCAGAUAUCAGGAGGAGCACCGAUGGCGAAGGCAGGUCUCUGGGCUGUAACUGACGCUGAGAAGCGAAAGCAUGGGGAGCGAACAGGAUUAGAUACCCUGGUAGUCCAUGCCGUAAACGUUGGGCACUAGGUGUGGGGGACAUUCCACGUUUUCCGCGCCGUAGCUAACGCAUUAAGUGCCCCGCCUGGGGAGUACGGCCGCAAGGCUAAAACUCAAAGAAAUUGACGGGGGCCCGCACAAGCGGCGGAGCAUGCGGAUUAAUUCGAUGCAACGCGAAGAACCUUACCAAGGCU